This 3625-nucleotide unclassified non-coding RNA is filed under the name Monomorium pharaonis (pharaoh ant). Its description in RNAcentral is "nGFI-A-binding protein homolog, transcript variant X4". The record is from RNAcentral. Lineage: Eukaryota; Metazoa; Arthropoda; Insecta; Hymenoptera; Formicidae.
UCAUGGAAUAAAAAUAUAAUUAUAUGUUUAAGGAAAUAAAAUCGAAGAGUAUAUAGACUUAGCGUGAAUUUUAGCCAGAAAAGGCCAAAAUUUAUUUUUAUACAAAAAAUUGACUGAAAUACUUAUAUUACAGACAGUUUUCGAGGAUUUUAGGCGAACUUUUUUAAUACUUUUUCUUAAAGUUUCCUUUUUAUCUCGAACACAAUUUUUCAGUGUGUGCAUUUAAUGUACACAGUCCAGUGAGGCGAUUUUUUGACAUGAUUAACAGCAACUAGGUUUUCAUUCAUUGCAAUGUAUUAAAAAAAACUUUUAUUGAUGCUCGUUGUGCACAGCUGGGUUGAAGAAAUGCAGAGCAUAUUUUGUUACUGAGAAAGUUUCAAUUUCUUCCAGUUUCAAUUCUUUAAAUUUCUUUUAAUUCCUUUUUAUCACACCUAAGUAAUAAUACGUGAUCUACCAUGCAUCGGUUAAUGUCAUAAAAUUGUUUUUAUAAUUUAUUUCUCUUUUUAAAUCAAGAUUUAAGGAGGAGCAAAAAACACCCCUUCCAGUUCUCUGCCCCUCGUCCCUUUGCCCGUGACAAGGAGUAUUUUCUGAUAUUCUGUAAAUAAUUCAUUCAACAAUUCAUUUGAGAUUUUAAUGCUAUUAUUUUUCAAGUUCGUAUAAAUAUAAAAUCUUGUAAUAGCGUAUUUGCAAUUUUUUAUCAUGUAAAUUUUUCCAAACCGAAAGAUUAAUAUCUUUUGUAGUUUUAAAGUUCCAAUUUGUCUUUAUAUAAAGUACUUUAACGUUAACGAAUGAGAAAUUAUCAGUAUAUCGUGUCAUAAAAAGCAUUAAAAUCUCCGAAUUUGUUUUCAUUUCUUCAAACACACAGCUACAAUAAAUAUAUUUUUAUUAAUUACAAAUCUGUUAAAACAAAUUCAUCAAUCAUUAAAACAUCGCAAUUAAAUUAUAUCCGAGAUGAAAUAGAGGCGGGGGGUCUAUUUUCCCAAGUUUCCAAUUUUAUCUUCCCAAAAGAACGGUGCGCCGGCGCUGUGCGGGGAGGGAAAUCUUACAUUCAUUUACACUCCAAGGUGCAGCUAAGUAGAAAUUAACAAGUUCACGGGGGGGGGGGGAUUAAGCGUGCCCCCUCCCCCCAAAAUCUUAACCGCUUCGACGAAGAUUCCGGGGAACCGUCGACGGUGCUCUCGCGGGAAGGGGUGGGCAACGCGCGGAGGAGCGUCGGUGUGUCGCGCGGCGCCGCGAUGGUGGGGGAGCGCGAAAGGAAAGGAACGGCCGGCGGCGGCGGCGGCGGCGCGCGUAUUCGCCGCGCGACGCGCAAUGUGCACCGCGCCAUCGUUCGAAACGCGUCGGUGUCGCUCUCUCGCGCGUGCUUCGUGGUGACACGUCGUGGCGACAAACGAUAUACUCCGUCGCCUUUCGCGCGAGCACGAGCAGCCGUUUGACGAUUGACACGAGGAAGACGAAACCCCACGCACGGCACGUGAGACUCGAUACUUUCCCCUACUCUCGGGCGAGACUGAAUCGCCUCGUGGCGGAGAGCAGGGAGAGAGAGGUGGGAGGGGAAACGCCGUCUCGUCCCGCGAGAUCAUGAUCCGCGUCGCGGAAGUGCGAUAACGCGAGAUCGAGCGAGGACGAGCCUGGCGUCGCCUCGAGGAAGGAAUCCGUGCCGCUUUCUUCUUCCCCUCUCGGUGGACGAACGCAAAAGCGCCGGCGAUCGAAUGCGCCUCGUUGGAUGCUGCCGGCAGCGCGCGUGGUCGACCUGGAACCCCGUGCUCGUCGGGGCUACGCCGCCGCUGCCGCUGUGAGUUGGUGCUGUUACCGCUGCUGCCGUUGCCGUUCGUGUUGCCGCUGCCCCAGGUAGCACUGGUGGCCGCGAUGGACGCGCGCGUGGUCGGUGUCGGUGCGCCGGCCGCGGAAGAGACGCCGGUGGCGGUGGCGACGCGGGGCGUCGCGACGCCCUCGCCGGUCCCCUCGGCGCCGAGCUGUACCGCCGUGGUAACCGUCACCGGUACCGGCAACGGCAGCGUCGUCGGCGGCGGCGGUGGUGGUUCCACCGCCGCCGCGACCCUCGCGUCCGCGUCCUGCACCCCGCAGAAUCCCCCGGUCGUCGUCGUCGCCAGCCCGUCCAACAACCAUCAACAGCCGGUCACUGCCGUACCCAGGAUACUCAGCAGGAACGUCAACGGCACGUUGGUGCAGACGUCCGUGCCGCAGAACGAGGCCGAGCUGCAGCUGUAUAGAGUGAUGCAGCGUGCCUCGCUGUUGGGAUACUACGACACGCUCCUCGAGAUGGGAGGCGACGAUGUGCAACAGCUGUGCGACGCGGGCGAGGAGGAGUUCCUGGAGAUCAUGGCGCUGGUGGGCAUGGCGAGCAAGCCGCUUCACGUCAGGAGGCUGCAGAAAGCGUUGCAGGAGUGGCUCACUAAUCCCUCGUUGUUUCAAACGCCGGUCGUGCCGACGAACGCCGCCGCCGCCGCGGCCGCCGUCGCCGCCGCCGCAGCGGCCGCCAAGAGCCCGGUCGCCGCCGCCGCCUUCGCCUGCGCGAGUCCGCGGCCGCAGAUGCAGAGCUUGCCGACCGCCGCCGGCUUUGGCGCGACCUCCCAGACCACCCUGACGCCGGCGUCCUACGUGUCGACGACGCCCCACGUGUCGCUGACGUCGCUGCCCUGCCGAAGCGCCAGCCCGGUCGUACCGGCGGUCACCAGCGUGUCGACGUCGGCGUCCUCGACGACCUUCCGCCAGAGCCCGAGCCCGAACACGUCUCUACCUUACGCGACCACUCACAGUCCCAAUGUGUUACAGGUAGGAACGUGCGAGUCUUCGUGCGGCAGCGGAACCACGCCGAGUCCGAGCGGCGGUGGCGGCGGCGGCGGAGGUGGCGGUGGCUGCGGUGGUGCACCUGCGAGCCCGACACAGCCGACGCCGACCCUUCUGCAGUCACAGGUGCAGCGGCUCGCCGAGGCCGCGGAGAGGCUCGUCGCCACCAUAAGGCCCCUCGAUCCCAAACCCCACAAUGUGAAGAAAAAACUCUGCAAGAACCUGGAGAUGGUGAUGACGAUGUCUGACAGUGAUCCGCGCAAAAUGGAUGAGAUCCGGAAGUACGCGGCGAUCUACGGCAGAUUCGAUUGCAAGAGAAAGCCGGAGAAGCCGCUCACGUUGCACGAGGUCUCGGUGAACGAAGCGGCGGCGCAGAUCUGCAGAUUCGUGCCUGCCCUCCUCACUAGGAGGGACGAGUUGUUCCCCUUGGCACGUCGUGUCGUCCGUGAUUCCGGCUAUCACUACUCUAAAAGCCAAUACUUGUCGAUGUCGAGGCCGCGCGAAAACGGAGAGGAGACCGACAGCGAGCGUUUGAAACGUCGGAAACUGGAGCUGGAGGGUGAGGGUGAGGACGCGACGCAGGAAUUGGAUUUACGAUGUUCUGGAACGGAUAUUAACAAUUCUAUCACAAGGAGACACAGGUCGUCGAGUCUGGAGGAAGAAGAGUAAUAAUGGCAUAUUUAGCGCUAGCGUGGAGGAAAUCAGCGACUCGGAUAGCCAAUUCUCUUUUUCUAAUGAGGAAUCCUCAUCUAUGCACGACACAAACGAGGCAGAGGCUGAGAAUACCGACAAAGAAGGAGAUUUCAAUUUAAAG